AACGAACGCUGGCGGCGUGCUUAACACAUGCAAGUCGAACGAGAAAGGCGGGGGCAACUCGCCGAGUAAAGUGGCGCACGGGUCAUUAACACGUGGAUAAUCUGCCUUAGGGUGAGGAACAACCUGUCGAAAGACGGGCUAAUACCUCGUAAGACCACGGGAUCUUCGGAUCCUGAGGUAAAAGGUGGCCUCUACUUGUAAGCUAUCACCUUAAGAUGAGUCCGCGCACCAUUAGCAGUUGGUAGGGUAACGGCCUACCAAGGCCGAUAUGGUUAGCUGGUCUGAGAGGACGACCAGCGACACUGGAACUGAGACACGGUCCAGACUCCUACGGGAGGCAGCAGUGGGGAAUCUUGGACAAUGGGCGAAAGCCUGAUCCAGCAACGCCGCGUGAGUGAUGAA
RNAcentral lists this ribosomal RNA (402 nucleotides) under uncultured bacterium. Its description in RNAcentral is "bacterial SSU rRNA". It matches the Rfam family "Bacterial small subunit ribosomal RNA", at positions 29 to 412 of the family's 1533-position model. The record is from RNAcentral.